Molecule: ribosomal RNA, 468 nt
Filed under: uncultured bacterium
Lineage: Bacteria
Description: partial 16S ribosomal RNA
Rfam family: Bacterial small subunit ribosomal RNA
Source: RNAcentral
GACGAACGCUGGCGGCGUGCUUAACACAUGCAAGUCGAACGGUGAAGCUCCAGCUUGCUGGAGUGGAUCAGUGGCGAACGGGUGAGUAACACGUGAGCAACCUGCCCCAGACUCUGGAAUAAGCGCUGGAAACGGCGUCUAAUACUGGAUACGAGAUCAAGCCGCAUGGUUAUGGUCUGGAAAGUUUUUCGGUUUGGGAUGGGCUCGCGGCCUAUCAGCUUGUUGGUGAGGUAAUGGCUCACCAAGGCGACGACGGGUAGCCGGCCUGAGAGGGCGACCGGCCACACUGGGACUGCGACACGGCCCAGACUCCUACGGGAGGCAGCAGUGGGGAAUAUUGCACAAUGGGCGAACGCCUGAUGCAGCGACGCCGCGUGAGGGAUGACGGCCUUCGGGUUGUAAACCUCUUUCAGCAGGGAAGAAGCGAAAGUGACGGUACCUGAAGAAGAAGCACCGGCUAACUACGUG